GGCCUCCUAAGAUGCCAAAAAGUUGUAGCUUGAUAGUCGAUUUGAAAGCUUCAAAAGGACACUCCGUUUUCUUACAAUACGAGGAAUUUUUUUUUAUACAAAUUCACGUUCGCAUUUACAAAUUGAUAGAUUUUUCCCGACAUGGGAAGCAAAUUUGAAGUGAAAUUCAUUUUAAAACUUGGAUAUUUUAUUCCCGGAAAAUUUAAAGUGAAAUUCACUUUGCUUUAUCCCCACCAACGUCGUUAUCUGCGUGUAGAUGAUGUUGCAAGGGAUUCCCAACUCAUAAUAACGUUAAAAAAAAGGCCCUUAAAGUCAGGAGCAAAAGUACACACAACUUGGGCCAUGUGCCACCACCAGAAUACACAUCAAAUAGCUUCUCUACAUUUGGAUGUCACCUAUUUAUUAUAUAUUGUAGAUUACUCUCUGCAAAUCUGACACACACUUACGGGCUCCCAAGAAUUGAGCAAGAAGAACAACUAAUAUAUUGUCUAAAGGCAAAGAAAAAUGUUAGAAGGGAAGGGUUUGAUAGAGGAUACAGAUAUGCCAGUGAAGAUGCAGAUCCAAGCAAUGGCUUUUGCUUCUCAAGCUCUAGAUCUCUAUGAUGUUUUUGACUGCAAAUCCAUUGCUGCCCACAUCAAGAAGGUGAUAAUAGCACAUCUCAUCGUGCUCAAAAGUUAAUUUUUUUUUUUUUUAAUACAAAAGAAGCAACUUCUAAGCUAGAAAUUUACUUUCUGGGUCUUGUGUAUAAGUUUGAUGAGAUUAGCUAUGAUUGGCAGGAGUUUGACAAGAGAUAUGGGAGUGGAUGGCAGUGUGUGGCAGGGUCCAACUUUGGGUGUUUUUUCACACACAGCAAAGGGACUUUCAUAUAUUUCACAUUGGAGACUCUAAAUUUUCUCAUCUUCAAAGUUUCUUCGUCUCCAUCAACUCCACCUCCAUAGCAGCCUUUCAUAGUUCGUUAUGGAUCGAACACAACUGAAUAGACUGAAUAGUACAAUAGAUUGACUUUAGCUUAUUUUUCUUCCUUAGUGUCUUCUAGUCCAUCUCACCAAGCAUGCCUAUUAAGAAAUUUCUAGUUGUAGAUUACUGUAAUAUUUGACUUUAGAGGCAGCUUUCACAAUGCUUUCUAUGCAGUUUUAUGUUGCAGAAUAGAACGUGUUUGGUUCCUCUAAUUGAUAAUUGAAAAUAAAUUAUAUGAAAUGGCACCAAAAGAAUCAAUCUACUGUGUAACACACAUGAUUGCAAUUUCUACCAAGCUUCUGAUGAAAUUGAACAAUAUUGUUGUUUCUAAAUAAAUAGGUGGUAUGCAAAGUUGAAGCACCCAAGAAUCUUCGUAAACAAUAAGUAGAGUCCAAAAUUUGCUAGAACGCUAGUUCAAAAUGAACAAAAUCUACUCAAAUCACUGGAGUUAAUAGAGGUUUGUGUAGAAAAUGAGCCUCCAAGUUUGCAAUGACUAGGUCAGCCAUGGCUUUGCUAGUUUCAAAAGUGUCGCUUCCAACAUGAGGUAAAAGAACAACAUUUUCGAGUCCAAGAAAAGGUUCAGGUACCUCAGGCUCGUUUUCAAACACAUCGAAUCCAGCUCCAGCUAUCCGUCCGUCAAGUAAUGCAGACACAAGUUCGGGUUCAUCAACGUGUGCACCUCGUCCAAUAUUGAUGAGAACUCCUUUGGGUCCUAAAGCAUCUAUGACCUUUCGAUUCACAAUGUGAUGGGUUUCUUCUGUCAAAGAGCAUGCCACAAUGAGGAUUUCACAGUUGGCAGCUAAAUUGAUGAUGUUGGAGUAGUAUCUGUAAUUUGUAGUUGGUUUCUUGGUUCUGGAGUGGUAACUGAUGGUGCAGCCGAAGGCUUCGGCUCUCUUGGCUAUUGCUGAACCAAUCCUACCCAAUCCAACUAUGCCAACUGCUUUACCACUGAACUGAAAAAGAAAGCAGCAAAUAAGAAAAUCUAAACAGGAAUAUCAUGGAAAAUUCAAGAAAACGAAAAGACGAGGUGAUGAUUCAAGUGAGCAGCCCUAACACUGUUACGAGCCUGAAAACGUUGGUUAAAUUACUCAAAAGUGAGACUUCAAGUGCACGAUUGGUACUGGUACACGAUAUACGAUACAACUGGGAAAUACAAUGAACCCAAUGUUAGCUUCAUUUUCCUUCUUAAAAGCAGAAUUUG
RNAcentral lists this long non-coding RNA (2158 nucleotides) under Olea europaea subsp. europaea. Lineage: Eukaryota; Viridiplantae; Streptophyta; Magnoliopsida; Lamiales; Oleaceae. The record is from RNAcentral.